AGCCUGGAGAACAAGAGUGAGACUCCAUCUCAAAAAAAAAGAAAAAAAAUAGGCAGAAUUAAAAGUGAAUUGUGUGCAAUUUAAGUGCUAAGAAGUAGCAUCAACUGGAUGUCAUCCCUUUCAUAUUUUCAUGAGUAACCUCAUCCCAAAAAAGAUUUCAGUCCAGGCUUCGUUAAUAUAAUCAUUGCUUAAAAAAUUCUUUGGGCUCAAACUGGAGAAGGAGAGAUUUUUUUCCUGUUGAAUUCAGAUGAAACUAGCAUCUUGGAAUGCUUGCUCUGGCAGGUAGAGAAGAGCAUAUAGAGGGAAUUGUGAGUAAGCCAGAUUAAUGCACCAGAAAAAGUAGAAACUGCACCAGAAAAAGUAGAAACUGCACCAGAAAAAGUAGAAACUGUACCAAGAACAGGAAGGACGGAUUGGCACCAGUGAAUUCAAACAAUAACCAGUGCCAGCUGGAGCCCCAUCAUGGUGAGGCUCUACAAUGAGUUCAUGGAGAAGACUGUGGAUGGGUCAUGGACAAGACUUCCAGGUUGUUGGUGCUCUGUGCAAUUCCUUAAAGAAGCAGACCUUACUAAGAUUGCUAAAGCUGUCCCUGCCAUCUUCUUACAAAUGAAGUGACGCAGAUGCAAGGUGCUGCAAGGCCCACCUCCUCCUGCUCUGACAGGCAGACAGGAAACCAAAG
RNAcentral lists this long non-coding RNA (679 nucleotides) under Homo sapiens (human). RNAcentral's name for it is "HSALNT0311319". Lineage: Eukaryota; Metazoa; Chordata; Mammalia; Primates; Hominidae. The record is from RNAcentral.